CGGGGUGAGUAAUGUCUGGGAAACUGCCUGAUGGAGGGGGAUAACUACUGGAAACGGUAGCUAAUACCGCAUAACGUCGCAAGACCAAAGAGGGGGACCUUCGGGCCUCUUGCCAUCGGAUGUGCCCAGAUGGGAUUAGCUAGUAGGUGGGGUAACGGCUCACCUAGGCGACGAUCCCUAGCUGGUCUGAGAGGAUGACCAGCCACACUGGAACUGAGACACGGUCCAG
This 229-nucleotide ribosomal RNA is filed under the name uncultured bacterium. Its description in RNAcentral is "partial 16S ribosomal RNA". It matches the Rfam family "Bacterial small subunit ribosomal RNA", at positions 104 to 334 of the family's 1533-position model. The record is from RNAcentral.